RNAcentral lists this small nuclear RNA (21 nucleotides) under Arabidopsis thaliana (thale cress). Its description in RNAcentral is "snRNA_16595". The record is from RNAcentral. Lineage: Eukaryota; Viridiplantae; Streptophyta; Magnoliopsida; Brassicales; Brassicaceae.
GGAAGAGUUAUCUUUUCUGUU